RNAcentral lists this ribosomal RNA (1341 nucleotides) under uncultured bacterium. RNAcentral's name for it is "partial 16S ribosomal RNA". It matches the Rfam family "Bacterial small subunit ribosomal RNA", at positions 28 to 1381 of the family's 1533-position model. The record is from RNAcentral.
GACGAACGCUGGCGGCGUGCUUAACACAUGCAAGUCGAACGGUAAGGCUCCAGCUUGCUGGGGUACACGAGUGGCGAACGGGUGAGUAACACGUGGGUGACCUGCCCUGCACUUCGGGAUAAGCCUGGGAAACUGGGUCUAAUACCGGAUAGGACCGCACCGUGAGGGUGUGGUGGAAAGUUUUUUCGGUGUGGGAUGGGCCCGCGGCCUAUCAGCUUGUUGGUGGGGUAAUGGCCUACCAAGGCGGCGACGGGUAGCCGGCCUGAGAGGGUGGACGGCCACAUUGGGACUGAGACACGGCCCAGACUCCUACGGGAGGCAGCAGUGGGGAAUAUUGCACAAUGGGCGGAAGCCUGAUGCAGCGACGCCGCGUGGGGGAUGACGGCCUUCGGGUUGUAAACUCCUUUCACCAUCGACGAAGGGUUUCUGACGGUAGAUGGAGAAGAAGCACCGGCUAACUACGUGCCAGCAGCCGCGGUAAUACGUAGGGUGCGAGCGUUGUCCGGAAUUACUGGGCGUAAAGAGCUCGUAGGUGGUUUGUCGCGUCGUCUGUGAAAUUCCGGGGCUUAACUCCGGGCGUGCAGGCGAUACGGGCAUAACUUGAGUACUGUAGGGGAGACUGGAAUUCCUGGUGUAGCGGUGAAAUGCGCAGAUAUCAGGAGGAACACCGGUGGCGAAGGCGGGUCUCUGGGCAGUAACUGACGCUGAGGAGCGAAAGCAUGGGGAGCGAACAGGAUUAGAUACCCUGGUAGUCCAUGCCGUAAACGGUGGGCGCUAGGUGUGGGUUUCCUUCCACGGGAUCCGUGCCGUAGCUAACGCAUUAAGCGCCCCGCCUGGGGAGUACGGCCGCAAGGCUAAAACUCAAAGGAAUUGACGGGGGCCCGCACAAGCGGCGGAGCAUGUGGAUUAAUUCGAUGCAACGCGAAGAACCUUACCUGGGCUUGACAUAUACAGGAUCGCGCCAGAGAUGGUGUUUCCCUUGUGGCUUGUAUACAGGUGGUGCAUGGUUGUCGUCAGCUCGUGUCGUGAGAUGUUGGGUUAAGUCCCGCAACGAGCGCAACCCUUGUCUUAUGUUGCCAGCACGUUGUGGUGGGGACUCGUAAGAAACUGCCGGGGUUAACUCGGAGGAAGGUGGGGAUGACGUCAAAUCAUCAUGCCCCUUAUGUCCAGGGCUUCACACAUGCUACAACGGUCGGUACAGUGGGUUGCCAGUCCGUGAGGGCGAGCUAAUCCCGCAAAACCGGUCUCAGUUCGGAUCGGGGUCUGCAACUCGACCCCGUGAAGUCGGAGUCGCUAGUAAUCGCAGAUCAGCAACGCUGCGGUGAAUACGUUCCCGGGCCU